UACGUAGGGCGCAAGCGUUGUCCGGAAUUAUUGGGCGUAAAGAGCUCGUAGGUGGCUUGUCGCGUCUGCCGUGAAAACCCGAGGCUCAACCUCGGGCGUGCGGUGGGUACGGGCAGACUAGAGUGUGGUAGGGGAGACUGGAAUUCCUGGUGUAGCGGUGAAAUGCGCAGAUAUCAGGAGGAACACCGAUGGCGAAGGCAGGUCUCUGGGCCACUACUGACGCUGAGAAGCGAAAGCAUGGGGAGCGAACAGGAUUAGAUACCCG
RNAcentral lists this ribosomal RNA (265 nucleotides) under uncultured prokaryote. RNAcentral's name for it is "partial 16S ribosomal RNA". It matches the Rfam family "Bacterial small subunit ribosomal RNA", at positions 524 to 788 of the family's 1533-position model. The record is from RNAcentral.